GGGCAGGCUCAUCAGAACUAAGUCUCACCACUCCUGAAAGACAAGAGAAAUGAGAGACCACAGAAUCCUCAGGGAGUCACCUCACCAGGCAACCUAGAUUUGUAACUGUUCAUCCUGCCUGUGAGAAAGGACACAGUCCUGUGAUAUCUAAAGAGGAAGAGGGAGAGAGUGAUGCCUGUUCCUAUCCCUGCAUAGAGCACGGGUCCUCCUGGUACCAACUGAGGAUGCUUUGGGGACCAAACGACAUCUAGUACUAUGCUUGGCACUUACGGCUUCACAGCCAGAACCCAUCAUUUCUAAGCUCUUAAGGUGGGGCCCUCAUACGUGUGUCCUGAAGCCUCCUUAGCUUGUCCUAAAAAACACUGGCAGAAUGGAGAAAUUGUAUCAGAGGCCAACAUGUUGGCCUUUGACAUGAAUUGCAACAAUGACAGAAAUAGUCACAGCAGAUGAGUGUUUAGUUUUGGGGAGAAAAUUUUUCUUUUUUUUUCCUUUAGAGGAGCUAAGGCUGCCAUGACAAAAUAAGAAAGAAGAAAUGUAUUCAGUAGGCUGCUGAAUUUUGAAAUGGGAGAAGUUCAGAUUAAAGGAACAGAGGAGGUGGAAGAAAGCCAGGUGAAUGGAAUGUUAGGAGAGUGGGAGGAAGAGUUCCAGGACGGUUCCCGCCAGUGCUGCAGAGUCAAGCAGCACACACAGCAGAUCACGGGUCUGAUGAUGAGAAUUCCUUAUGACAUCAGAUGCAGGUUUCAAGGGUGGAAUGCCGACGGAGAAGGUGCUCAACUGUUGGUGUAAAUAAUGGAGCAGGAGGUGCUGUGACUAGUUUGGAGAUCUUCCCUAGGCCAGAUCUGUAGAAAGAAGAGCAAAGGCUUUUCCUGCCCCACCUAAGCAUGAAAGUCAGCACCACCCAGGCCCGUCCAGGAGGACAAUCACAGAGGAUCCAUCAGGGACACUGGGGACCAUACUGGGCACUGAACAGUUCAGAACACUGUGAAAUCACAGUCAGAAACAAACAGAUGUCUGGAGUAAGAGCAAAAACCCACACAAAUUGCAACUGGACC
Molecule: long non-coding RNA, 1052 nt
Filed under: Fukomys damarensis (Damara mole-rat)
Lineage: Eukaryota; Metazoa; Chordata; Mammalia; Rodentia; Bathyergidae
Description: lncRNA (ENSFDAG00000024266.1)
Source: RNAcentral